UAGAGGGACACAUGGUGUGGGCUUGUGGAAAAAUAUUAGAGCGGGAUGGGGUAGAUUUGCCAAGUGCUUUAGAUUUGCAAUUGAAAGAGGUGAUAGAGUCUACUUUUGGCAUGAUGCUUGGUGUGGUGAACAGGUCCUAAAGCAGGUGUUUCCCACGCUUUACCAGAUUUUCAACGACAAAGAGGCUGCCGUGGCUGAUCUAGUGGUAAUUUCUAAUGGUGUUGUCCAUUGGGAUGUAAGAUUCUUGAGAGUUGCUCAUGAUUGGGAGUUGGAUAUGCUUGCUAUUUUUUUGACUUAGUAUAUGCAAUAUCAAUGGGCAGUGAGACGGAGGAUAAAAUGAUCUGGAUUUUGAAUGGUAAUAACAAAUAUUUGGUGCGCUCUUUCUACAAGGCCCUCUUGGGAGUUUCUAAUGAUCAUAAUUUUCCUUGGAAGGCCAUUUGGCAAUGUAGAGUACCGUCUAAGAUCGCUUUUUUUGUAUGGACUGCAUCUUUUGGGCGGAUCCUCACGUUGGAUAAUUUGAGAAAACGUAGUCUUAUCAUAGCAGAUUGGUGCUUCUUGAGCAAGAAUGAUGGGGAAUCAGUGGAUCAUCUUUUGUUAUGUUGUGAGGUGGCAAGUUGUUUGUGGAAUGAGAUCCUCAAUAGGAUAGGGGUGACUUGGGCUAUGCCCAGAAAAGUUAGAGAUAUUCUGGGGUGUUGGACAGGAAUUAGGGGGAAUCCACCUAUAGCUGUUGUGUGGAGAAUGAUCCCUCAUUGCAUUUUGUGGUGCUUUUGGCUAGAGAGGAAUAAGAGGUGCUUUGAAGACAUGGAGCGUUCUUUGGAGGAGCUGAAGCGAUUCUUCUACAAUACUUUAUUUUCUUGGGCUUCGGCUAUUAUUUGUAAUACGGACAAUUUUCAUGACCUGCUUGUAUCUCUCACUAGUAUCUAGAUGUAAUUAGGUUUCAUGAGCUGUUUGUAUACUUCUGGUGUACUCUGUUACUUUCUUUAUUUCAAUAAAACUUACUUUUACCUAUAAAAAAAAAAAAUCCUUUAGCUCUGAAGCCCCGGGUUUCUUGGGAAUGAGAGCAAUGAAAGUAGCAUUAAGAGAUUUUUCAAACUUCUUAAAGGAAAAAAACUCUUGAAAAACCCGCAUCACAUCUUUCACAAUCUCCCAACAAAGUUGAAAAAAUGCCAUAGAAAAACCAUCCGGACUAGGACCUUUAUCUUUGACCAUCCCACUAACCACAAAAAAAACCUCAUCUUCAUCAAACGGUCUCUCCAACCAACUUGCACUAAGAGGAUCAAGAGAAUAAAAAAACAGCCCAUCAAUUUUAGCCCUCCAAGAACCUUAUUCGGUGGGAAGGUUUUCAUAAUAAUACACUAUAAGAUCUUGAAUCUCAGGUGGAGAUGAAAUAAUCAGAGAUGAAAUAAUCACACAACCAUCAGAAUGAAGCAUCUCAAUAGCAGUUUCUUUGGUGCGAGUUGGCCAUUCUAUGAAAAAAUCUAGUACAUUUAUCCCCUUCUUUUAGCCGAAGAGCCAUUAUUUUUACCGCCAAGAGAUUUCCUCCAUCAACAAAGUUACAACACCCUCUCAAAUUCAGCCACCACAGAUUUUUUUUUUUCAAAAAGACCUCCUUAGAAGGAACCCUAUACUCCUCCCCAGACUCCAAAUCCUGCAACUCCUCCAUAAGAGAGAAUUUUUCUGACAUUAAUAUUCCCAAAAACUUUUGCAUUUUAUUUCUUUAAAUCAAACUUCAAUGGUCUAAGCUUACUAGCAAGAAUAAAAGUGGGAGUACCCGUGAACUAAUAAGAAGACCACCAGCUCCUAACCUUGUCAACAAAACCAUCAACUCCUAACCACAUGUUUUUAAACUUAAAACUCCAACCCCCAUGAAUGCCACCGCUGUCCAGCAAAAUAAGAAAAUGGUCUGAACACACAUGAGGCAAUCUCUUUUGAUAUGGCUCUAGGUAAUGUACUUCCCAAGAAGAAGAAACAAGAAAUUGAUCCAAUCUCAACCAACUUCGACUGUUGGACCAAGUGGAUACACCCCCCCACAAGUGGAAGAUCCAAGUGAUCCAAAUCAAAGAUAAAUACAAACUCCUUCAUUGCCGAAGAAAAACUAGAAUCACCUAAACGUUCACUUAGGAACCGAGUAAUGUUGAAGUCCCCACACAUACUCCAUGGUACAUCUCAAAGAGAAUACAAACCCUCUAAUUCCUCCCACAAAAAACUCCUUUCCCUCGGGAUUUUGACCAUAAACACCCGCGAAGGCCCACUCCCACCCAUCAUCCUCUACAUUUUUAAAAAAACAAGCUAAAGAAAAGUUCCCUAUACAUACCCACUCGUGGGUAGCCCAAGUGGUAAGGGCGAACUUGUGUGCAUGAGCCCCAUGUCACAGGUUCGAUUCCCCCUGAAAUCAAACUACAAUUUAAGAGGGAGGUCAUGGCGAUGGGUUGUUGUGCUAGUCUCCCCGGGGGUUCAGGUUCCAUGAGUGAGUCCUAAGGGCUUUGCCAUAGGGUGGUUUCCCCUAUCAUUAAAAAAAAAAAAAAAAAAAAAAAAAAAAAAAAAGAAAAAGAAAAUAAAAAAGGGGAAAAGUUCCCUAUACAUUCCCUCCAUAGACUCCACCACCCUUGUGUCCCAGAUUAAAAGAACACCCCUAGAAGCUCCCAUAGACACCAAAUCUGCCCAACCCACGAAAUAGCACCCCCCAUAAACUACGAAUUAAACAUCUAUCAACAAAAUGUAACUUCAUUUCUUGAAGGCAAGCAAUAUCAACCUUCCACCUACGUAAUAAAGACUUUAUACAAAGACGUUUGUUUAGAUCGUUAAGCCCC
This is a long non-coding RNA of Juglans microcarpa x Juglans regia, 2810 nucleotides long. RefSeq lists it as uncharacterized. The transcript has 2 exons. NCBI's taxonomy places the organism in Eukaryota, Viridiplantae, Streptophyta, Magnoliopsida, Fagales, Juglandaceae. The record is from RefSeq and is a predicted model, not a curated record.